Molecule: ribosomal RNA, 254 nt
Filed under: uncultured bacterium
Lineage: Bacteria
Description: partial 16S ribosomal RNA
Rfam family: Bacterial small subunit ribosomal RNA
Source: RNAcentral
UACGUAGGGUGCGAGCGUUUAAUCGGAAUUACUGGGCGUAAAGCGUGCGCAGGCUGUUCUGUAAGUCAGAUGUGAAAUCCCCGAGCUCAACUUGGGAACUGCGUUUGAAACUACAGGACUAGAAUAUGUCAGAGGGGGGUAGAAUUCCACGUGUAGCAGUGAAAUGCGUAGAGAUGUGGAGGAAUACCAAUGGCGAAGGCAGCCCCCUGGGAUAAUAUUGACGCUCAUGCACGAAAGCGUGGGGAGCAAACAGG